This 1005-nucleotide ribosomal RNA is filed under the name Triticum aestivum (bread wheat). RNAcentral's name for it is "partial small subunit ribosomal RNA". The record is from RNAcentral. Lineage: Eukaryota; Viridiplantae; Streptophyta; Magnoliopsida; Poales; Poaceae.
AUGGACCCUCCCAACCGCAUUCCUCCUCAGCGCUUCGACAUGCGACUCCACGGCAUUGACAGUGGCCGUGCCACGGGGGUCCAACUGCUCGGGUGCCGCCACGGUCGCCUCUUCAUCUUGCCCUGGCAGCGGGCAGAGCUUAUUGUAAUUGCUCCCAUCACCGGCAAGAAGCUCUGCCUGGCCGUUCCGUCCAAGUUCAAGGGGGACUGCUACCUUGAUGGGGCGGUGCUCUGCGCCGCUGCUGACCAUGGCCACGUGCAUGGAAACUGCCACUCAAGCCCAUUCAAGGUGGUCUUGCUGUCGACAAGCACCUACCAUAGUGGUCCACAGCCCGCCUUUGCAUGUGUUUACUCCUCGAAGACUGGCACUGGCAUAUGGAGCGAUCUCAUCUCAACGCCGACUCCAUAUCAGCUUCAUGGCGCUUAUAUUCAUGGGUCACUUAUUGGUAACUCACUUUACUGGAUGUGCGGGCAAGGAAGGUACAUAUUUGAGUUUGGUUUGGAUGGUCAGAGCCUAGCUUUGAUCACAGCGGCUCCCAGAAUAAAUGAUGGCCGCCACAACUAUGACCAACGUGAGAUCAUCCAGAUGGUGGAUGGUGUUGUUGGUCUUGCCAUAUUGUCUCCCUGUUACCGUAGCAUUCAAAUGUGGCGGUGGAAGGUCAAUUGUCAUGGUGAUACCAAAUGGGUGCUGUGCAAGUCCAUUGAAAUGAAUAGCAUUAAUGGGAUGCCUCCUGGGGUUAAAGGAGAGAUCCCAAAGUUGGUAUUUAGACUGAGAUAUGCUGAGGAUACUGGUGAUAUAUUUAUAUAUGCGGGCUGGAGUGUCUAUAUGGUUCAACUCAAGUCGAUGAAAUCUUGGAAACUUUGUGAAACCCUAUAUGUUACUCGUCAUCAUCCUUUCAAGAGUUUCUAUAUGCCAGGUGAUUGUCUUCGUUAUUCCUCAUAUUGUAUGAGUAACCUAGUCUUGUUCUGUUUUGUAUUUGAAUGCUCAAAUACCUUCGCUAGAUAA